UGCUCAACAGCUAGCCCACCCCCCCCCCAAAGAUCAAAUAUAAAUACAAGCAAAUAACUUGAAUGCCAAAACCAAACCAUUUUUCCCCUCUAGUAUGGGCGACAGAAAAAGGAACAGGCGCAACAGAAAUAGUACCGCAAGGGAAAGCUGAAAGAGAUGUGAAAUAGAGCACUCAAGCAAAAAACAGCAGAGACCUGCCCUCGUACCUUUUGCAUCAUGAUCGAGCUAGUUAACCUCAGGCACAGUGUCCUUUAGUCUGAGCCCCCGAAACCGAGCGAGCUACUUCGAGAUAGCCCAUAAUGGGGCAAACCCGUCUCUGUGGCAAAAGAGUGGGAAGAGCUUUAAGUAGAGGUGAUAAACCUACCGAGCUCGGUGAUAGCUGGUUAUCUAGGAAAUGGAUAUAAGUUCAGCCCCCGAGCCUUUCUUUGCCGAAGAGGGCCUACUUCACACUGGCAUAGGACAAGCUAAGGGAGUUAGUCAAGAGAGGUACAGCUCUCUUGAAAAGGAAACAACCUUCCCAGGCGGGUAAAAAUCAUUCACCUUAAGGUAUCAAGCCUCUGUAGGCCCAAAAGCAGCCAUCUGAUUAGAAAGCGUUAAAGCUCAAGCACUCCCCACGCCCACUUAUAACGACAAAUUGUUUGACCCCCCUAAAAGUACUAGAUCAUUCCAUGCAAACAUGGAAGAGACAAUGCUAGAACGAGUAACAAGGGGCCCGCUGGGCCCCUCCCCGCACAAGUGUACCUCGGAACGGACCCACCACCGAAAAUUACCCGACCCCAAACGCAGAGGGGACUGAAUAGCAACAAAUUAACAGGAAGAGUACUCAGUCAGAAAUCGUUGAUCUUACACAAGAGUGCAAGCAGGGAAAGACUAAAAGAAAGGGAAGGAACUCGGCAAACUCAAGCCCCGCCUGUUUACCAAAAACAUCACCUCUUGCAAAACUAAAAAAUAAGAGGCACCGCCUGCCCUGUGACUUUAUGUUUAACGGCCGCGGUAUCCUGACCGUGCGAAGGUAGCGCAAUCACUUGUCUUUUAAAUGAAGACCCGUAUGAAUGGCAUCACGAGGGCUUAACUGUCUCCCCUCUCUAGUCAGUAAAACUGAUCUCCCCGUGCAGAAGCGGGGUUGCCCACACAAGACGAGAAGACCCUGUGGAGCUUUAGAUAUAAAGAAGGGCAUCUUAAGGAAUCCCGUAAAAGGAACCCAAUCCCCAAUGCACUCCUUCUCGAAUAUCUUUGGUUGGGGCGACCGCGGGGACAAACAAAACCCCCACGAGGACUAAGAGUACCCCUCCUAAAACCAAGAGCCACCACUCUAAGUACUAGAACAUCUAACCUUAAAUGAUCCGGCACAUGCUGAUCAACGAACCAAGUUACCCCAGGGAUAACAGCGCAAUCCUCUUCCAGAGCCCAUAUCGACAAGAGGGUUUACGACCUCGAUGUUGGAUCAGGACAUCCUAAUGGUGCAGCCGCUAUUAAGGGUUCGUUUGUUCAACGAUUAAAGUCCUACGUGAUCUGAGUUCAGACCGGAGUAAUCCAGGUCAGUUUCUAUCUGUGAUAUGAUCUUUCCUAGUACGAAAGGACCGAAAAGAUGGGGCCCAUGCUCCGAGCACGCCCUCCCCCCCCACCUGAUGAAGUCAACUAAAGCAGACAAAGGGACAUACUCCUUUGCCAGAAAACAUGGCAA
RNAcentral lists this ribosomal RNA (1684 nucleotides) under Metavelifer multiradiatus. Its description in RNAcentral is "16S rRNA". The stretch from base 93 to 1603 matches the Rfam family "Bacterial large subunit ribosomal RNA". Lineage: Eukaryota; Metazoa; Chordata; Actinopteri; Lampriformes; Veliferidae. The record is from RNAcentral.